This 236-nucleotide non-coding RNA is filed under the name Saccharomonospora viridis. The record is from RNAcentral. Lineage: Bacteria; Bacillati; Actinomycetota; Actinomycetes; Pseudonocardiales; Pseudonocardiaceae. RNAcentral also lists the same sequence under 1 other name.
UCCUGAGUCGCCGCCGGUGGUUCGCCCGUCUCCGGGCGGGGCGUCGCAAGAGGGAACCCGGUGGGAAUCCGGGACUGCCCCGCAGCGGUGAGUGGGAACGAACGCCGUGGCCGGUCGUCUCGACCGGCGACACCCGCACUGGGCCUUUCGGCCUGGGAAGCGACGGCCGGUAGGGAAACCCGGCGUGAGCCGGUCCGCCCGCGAGUCCGAAGACCUGCCAUCGGUGCGCACACCGC